RNAcentral lists this ribosomal RNA (468 nucleotides) under uncultured bacterium. RNAcentral's name for it is "partial 16S ribosomal RNA". It matches the Rfam family "Bacterial small subunit ribosomal RNA", at positions 28 to 507 of the family's 1533-position model. The record is from RNAcentral.
GACGAACGCUGGCGGCGUGCUUAACACAUGCAAGUCGAACGGAAAGGCCCUGCUUUUGUGGGGUGCUCGAGUGGCGAACGGGUGAGUAACACGUGAGUAACCUGCCCUUGACUUUGGGAUAACUUCAGGAAACUGGGGCUAAUACCGGAUAGGAGCUCCUGCUCCAUGGUGGGGGUUGGAAAGUUUCGGCGGUUGGGGUUGGACUCGCGGCUUAUCAGCUUGUUGGGGGGGUAGUGGCUUACCAAGGCUUUGACGGGUAGCCGGCCUGGGCGGGUGAACGGCCACAAUGGGACUGAGGUACGGCCCAGACGCCUACGGGGGGCAACAGUGGGGAAUCUUGCACAAUGGGCGGAAGCCUGAUGCAGCAACGCCGCGUGCGGGAUGCCGGCCUUCGGGUUGUAAACCGCUUUCGCCUGUGACGAAGCGUGAGUGACGGUAAUGGGUAAAGAAGCACCGGCUAACUACGUG